AUUGAACGCUGGCGGCAGGCCUAACACAUGCAAGUCGAGCGGAUGAAGGGAGCUUUCUCCUGGAUUCAGCGGCGGACGGGUGAGUAAUUCCUAGGAAUCUGCCUGGUAUUGGGGGAUAACGUCCGGAAACGGGCGCUAAUACCGCAUACGUCCUGAGGUAGAAAGUGGGGGAUCUUCGGACCUCACGCUAUCAGAUGAGCCUAGGUCGGAUUAGCUAGUUGAUGGGGUAAAGGCCUACCAAGGCGACGAUCCGUAACUGGUCUGAGAGGAUGAUCAGUCACACUGGAACUGAGACACGGUCCAGACUCCUACGGGAGGCAGCAGUGGGGAAUAUUGGACAAUGGGCGAAAGCCUGAUCCAGCCAUGCCGCGUGUGUGAAGAAGGUCUUCGGAUUGUAAAGCACUUUAAGUUGGGAGGAAGGGAAGUAAGUUAAUACCUUGCUGUUUUGACGUUACCAACAGAAUAAGCACCGGCUAACUUCGUG
Molecule: ribosomal RNA, 484 nt
Filed under: uncultured bacterium
Lineage: Bacteria
Description: partial 16S ribosomal RNA
Rfam family: Bacterial small subunit ribosomal RNA
Source: RNAcentral